GAUGAACGCUGGCGGUAUGCUUAACACAUGCAAGUCGAACGAAGUCUUCGGACUUAGUGGCGGACGGGUGAGUAACGCGUAAGAAUCUACCUAUAGGUUCGGGACAACAGUUAGAAAUGACUGCUAAUACCGGAUAUGCCGAGAGGUGAAAGUUUUAAUGCCUGUAGAUGAGCUUGCGUUCGAUUAGCUAGAUGGUGGGGUAAUAGCCUACCAUGGCGACGAUCGAUAACUGGUCUGAGAGGAUGACCAGUCACACUGGGACUGAGACACGGCCCAGACUCCUACGGGAGGCAGC
This 295-nucleotide ribosomal RNA is filed under the name Pseudanabaena sp. lw0831. RNAcentral's name for it is "partial 16S ribosomal RNA". It matches the Rfam family "Bacterial small subunit ribosomal RNA", at positions 28 to 352 of the family's 1533-position model. The record is from RNAcentral. Lineage: Bacteria; Bacillati; Cyanobacteriota; Cyanophyceae; Pseudanabaenales; Pseudanabaenaceae.